RNAcentral lists this ribosomal RNA (520 nucleotides) under uncultured Glomus. Its description in RNAcentral is "SSU rRNA". It matches the Rfam family "Eukaryotic small subunit ribosomal RNA", at positions 569 to 1094 of the family's 1831-position model. Lineage: Eukaryota; Fungi; Glomeromycota; Glomeromycetes; Glomerales; Glomeraceae. The record is from RNAcentral.
AGCAGCCGCGGUAAUUCCAGCUCCAAUAGCGUAUAUUAAAGUUGCUGCAGUUAAAAAGCUCGUAGUUGAAUUUCGGGAUCAAUAUGUUGGUCGUGCCUCGGUACGUACUAGCUUAUUGGUUUCUUCCUUCUGACGAACCAUAAUGUCAUUUAUUUGGUGUUAUGGGGAAUCAGGACUGUUACUUUGAAAAAUUAGAGUGUUUAAAGCAGGCUUACGCUUGAAUACAUUAGCAUGGAAUAAUGAAAUAGGACGUUUGAUUCUAUUUUGUUGGUUUCUAGGAUCGACGUAAUGAUUAAUAGGGAUAGUUGGGGGCAUUAGUAUUCAAUUGUCAGAGGUGAAAUUCUUGGAUUUAUUGAAGACUAACUACUGCGAAAGCAUUUGCCAAGGAUGUUUUCAUUAAUCAAGAACGAAAGUUAGGGGAUCGAAGACGAUCAGAUACCGUCGUAGUCUUAACCAUAAACUAUGCCGACUAGGGAUCGGAUGAUGUUAAUUUUUAAUGACUCAUUCGGCGCCUUACGGG